AAAUUGAAGAGUUUGAUCCUGGCUCAGAACGAACGCUGGCGGCGUGGCUAAGACAUGCAAGUCGAACGGACUAUUAAAUUGGGUAACCGAAAUAAUAGUUAGUGGCGAAAGGGUGAGGAAUGGAUAGGUAACGUACCUUUGGCUUCGGAACAGCGUCCCGAAAGGGGCGAUAAUACCGGAUGAUAUCAUGAAUUGUAAGGUUUGUGAUCAAAGAUUUAUCGGCCAGAGAGCGGCCUAUUCCCUAUCAGCUAGUUGGUGAGGUAAUGGCUCACCAAGGCGACGACGGGUAGCGGGACUGAGAGGUUGGCCCGCCACAUCGGGACUGAGACACUGCCCGGACCUCCACGGAGGGCUGCAGUAACGAAUAUUGGGCAAUGGGCGAAAGCCUGACCCAGCGACGCCGCGUGUAGGAUGAAGUUCUUCGGAAUGUAAACUACUGUCAGGGAUUAGAAAGUUUCGAUUGAUCAAUCCCAGAGGAAGUCACGGCUAACUUCGUGCCAGCAGCCGCGGUAAUACGAAGGUGGCAAGCGUUGUUCGGAAUCACUGGGCUUAAAGGGCGCGUAGGCGGGCCAGAAAGUGUCUUGUGAAAUCCCACGGCUUAACCGUGGAAUUGCUCGGCAAACUUCUGGUCUUGAGGCAAGUAGGGGUGUGUGGAACUCUUGGUGGAGCGGUGGAAUGCGUAGAUAUCAAGAGGAACGCCGAAGGUGAAGACAGCACACUGGACUUGUACUGACGCUGAGGCGCGAAAGCGUGGGGAGCAAACAGGAUUAGAUACCCUGGUAGUCCACGCUGUAAACGAUGCCUACUAGGUUGUGGGGGUUCUGACACUUCCACAGUCGUAGCAAAAGUGUUAAGUAGGCCGCCUGGGGAGUACGGUCGCAAGGCUAAAACUCAAAGGAAUUGACGGGGGCUCACACAAGCGGUGGAGCAUGUGGAUUAAUUCGAAGCAACGCGCAGAACCUUACCUGGGU
This 971-nucleotide ribosomal RNA is filed under the name Phycisphaerae bacterium. RNAcentral's name for it is "bacterial SSU rRNA". It matches the Rfam family "Bacterial small subunit ribosomal RNA", at positions 1 to 980 of the family's 1533-position model. Lineage: Bacteria; Pseudomonadati; Planctomycetota; Phycisphaerae. The record is from RNAcentral.